CCUGACAGUUAACUGUGAAACUAUUAAUGCUGGUACAGAACCUACCAUGGAAGUUGUUUCAAAAGUUUUAGGAUGGUUGCAACUCCCUCAAGAUGAUUCUUUGAGAAGCAAACUUGUUGAGAACCUUGAAGUUACUGUUGAUCCAUCAAGGUACUCUAGCCUUGGUUCACUUCUAGAUGGAUUUGGCGAAUAUGAUCCUUGUGCUUUUUAUUACUUGAGGAACCUGCUUCUUUUGGGAUUGUUCCAUGCGUAUCUUUCAAAAAAAGUCCUAUUGUUGUAGAUGCAAGAGAGUUUCAAAUUAAUACAGCGGAGGUAUAUCUCUUUACUAUAUUGACAGGUCUCAAGCAUCGGCUUGCUGCUGGUAAUGUGAUCUCCUUUUCUUUUCUUUUAUUAUCUACUCUGGGAUUUACCAUGAAUUUUAAAUAAAUCCUUGAUUUGUAAGACUGCUGGAACCAUGAGAGUCUUUUAGCAGAAGACUAUUGAUGCAAGGGGAAAAAUGCGUGGGAGAAGCAGUUGGCUGUUAAGAGCAGUUGAGAGAGUCAGUUCAUCAGUUAAUAAUCAGUUGCAAUUCCAGUUGUAAAUAGUUGAAAGUUGUUAGGAGGGUUUAAAUACAGCAAUUGUAAAUUGAGAAGCUAUGUUGAAUAAUACCAUUUUCAUUCUAGGAAUUUUCUUUUCUCU
Long non-coding RNA from Hibiscus syriacus, 678 nucleotides. RefSeq lists it as uncharacterized. NCBI's taxonomy places the organism in Eukaryota, Viridiplantae, Streptophyta, Magnoliopsida, Malvales, Malvaceae. The record is from RefSeq and is a predicted model, not a curated record. The transcript is spliced from 3 exons.